Molecule: long non-coding RNA, 984 nt
Organism: Erinaceus europaeus (western European hedgehog)
Lineage: Eukaryota; Metazoa; Chordata; Mammalia; Eulipotyphla; Erinaceidae
Exons: 3
Source: RefSeq, a predicted model, not a curated record
AGAAAAUGUAGCACUGAAGCUUCCUCCAGUGUGAUGGGAGAGCCGGGCUGGAACCUGGGUUGUGGUCAUGACAGAGUGGGUGCUCUAUCCAGGUACCAAGUUGCAGAUGCUACUAGGAUUCCAUUCUGACUUCCCUGGGCAGAUGACCUCACCGAUAUGUCCUGAAGUCUCACCUCUCCAGAGCCCUACCCAACUACGGAAAGAUAAAAACAGGCAGGGGCAUGGAUGGAACUAGAGGGAAUCAUGCUGAGCAAAACAAGUUGGAAGAAGAAAAUAUGCCGAAUGAUCUCACUCAUAGUUGGAAGCUAAAAAACCAAAGCCAAGAGCAAUAGAAGGUGAGUCCCCAAUGGACUAUAAUCUGCAACAGAUCUGAGACUCAGAAGGGCAUAGAAGGGUACUAAGGGGAAGAUGAAGAUGUAAAUUUAUGAUUGUAGAACAAACCGAUAGAAUAAGUUGAUAGUUUGGUUGACGGUGAAUACACUAAGACUCAGAGAAAUGGGGAAAUGUCGCCUGUGACAACAACAAUCCUGCAAGUCACUAGCUCUCAAUAAUGUGAUACUGGGAAAUAAGAAAUGUCUUAAACAUCACAUUGGUGCUGUGAUAAAUGUGACCCAGCAUGAUUGCCAUGAGCUUUUUUUUAAUUCUUCCUCUCCCCUUACUCCAGAUUGCUAUCUAUGCUCUUCCUUGAUGCUUUUUUUAAAUUAUUUUUUCUGUUUUAAUAACCUGAUCAUUUGACUGUCACAACAUUCAGCAUUUUCUUUCUUUUUUUUUUUUUUUUUUGAAAGGAUACAGGCACCUCCAUCUUCAUAGAGGCUUUAUUCACAAUAGCAAAAACCCGGAAACAACUUUUGACAGAUGACUGGAUAAAAAAAGUUCUGGGACAUACACUCAACAGAGUAUUAUGCAAUAAAAAGGGAUGAUUGUGUCCUUUGCGACGAAGUGGGUGGAAUUGGAGACGAUGCUCAGUGAAAUCAGUCAGGAGGU